AAGUUCCGACCCGCACGAAAGGCGUAACGAUUUGGGCACUGUCUCAACGAGAGACUCGGUGAAAUCAUAGUACCUGUGAAGAUGCAGGUUACCCGCGACAGGACGGAAAGACCCCGUGGAGCUUUACUGUAGCCUGAUAUUGAAAUUCGGCACAGCUUGUACAGGAUAGGUAGGAGCCUUUGAAACGUGAGCGCUAGCUUACGUGGAGGCGCUGGUGGGAUACUACCCUAGCUGUGUUGGCUUUCUAACCCGCACCACUUAUCGUGGUGGGAGACAGUGUCAGGCGGGCAGUUUGACUGGGGCGGUCGCCUCCUAAAAGGUAACGGAGGCGCUCAAAGGUUCCCUCAGAAUGGUUGGAAAUCAUUCAUAGAGUGUAAAGGCAUAAGGGAGCUUGACUGCGAGACCUACAAGUCGAGCAGGGUCGAAAGACGGACUUAGUGAUCCGGUGGUUCCGCAUGGAAGGGCCAUCGCUCAACGGAUAAAAGCUACCCCGGGGAUAACAGGCUUAUCUCCCCCAAGAGUUCACAUCGACGGGGAGGUUUGGCACCUCGAUGUCGGCUCAUCGCAUCCUGGGGCUGUAGUCGGUCCCAAGGGUUGGGCUGUUCGCCCAUUAAAGCGGUACGCGAGCUGGGUUCAGAACGUCGUGAGACAGUUCGGUCCCUAUCCGUCGUGGGCGUAGGAAAUUUGAGAGGAGCUGUCCUUAGUACGAGAGGACCGGGAUGGACAUACCUCUGGUGUACCAGUUGUCGUGCCAACGGCAUAGCUGGGUAGCUAUGUGUGGACGGGAUAAGUGCUGAAAGCAUCUAAGCAUGAAGCCCCCCUCAAGAUGAGAUUUCCCAACUUCGGUUAUAAGAUCCCUCAAAGAUGAUGAGGUUAAUAGGUUCGAGGUGGAAGCAUGGUGACAUGUGGAGCUGACGAAUACUAAUCGAUCGAAGACUUAAUCAA
Molecule: ribosomal RNA, 945 nt
Filed under: Staphylococcus aureus
Lineage: Bacteria; Bacillati; Bacillota; Bacilli; Caryophanales; Staphylococcaceae
Description: partial 23S ribosomal RNA
Rfam family: Bacterial large subunit ribosomal RNA
Source: RNAcentral